UUUCUGACAUGCUUCACAAAGAGCAUCUCAAGCAAACUUCACAUUUGGCAUUCCUCUGACUAAAUUAAGCUUGUUUAGCUGAGAAAUCCUCCUCAUUUCCCAAUCGCUUAUGCCACGUCCAUUGCUCUUUAUUCACAGAGAUAAGACAUUUUACAUUUUGAUUUUUAAAAUCAAGUCUUAUCUGGUAAAUGUUGUUAUUC
RNAcentral lists this long non-coding RNA (200 nucleotides) under Lathyrus oleraceus (garden pea). RNAcentral's name for it is "Pisum sativum (pea) long non-coding RNA (PSAT_LNC031828)". Lineage: Eukaryota; Viridiplantae; Streptophyta; Magnoliopsida; Fabales; Fabaceae. The record is from RNAcentral.